RNAcentral lists this long non-coding RNA (9137 nucleotides) under Pelobates cultripes (western spadefoot toad). Lineage: Eukaryota; Metazoa; Chordata; Amphibia; Anura; Pelobatidae. The record is from RNAcentral.
CUCAGCCAAGGAGGUGAGCAUGGGCGGGGCAAGUCGAGACUGGACCUGCACAGUACUGGAAAAAGCUGAAUAAAUUACUUUUUAGCAAGGGGUAAGGUGGAAUAAAUGGCUACUUAGACCUAUAGUGUCAGAAAUACACCCUUAUAUAGCUGACACUAUAGUGUUCCUUUAAGUGAAGUACUCAGGAUUCAUUAUAGGCGAAUAUUGGUGCUUUUGUACUGCUUGUUUCACAAUGUUGCACCAUGACAUUGGUAAACUACUACUCACUGUAGUGAGAACUCCUUCAGCCCUGCUUGUAUUUAUUGUGAUGUACAAUUAUUACAAAUUGUAUAUCAAUUUGAUAUCUACUAGAUGGCGGGACUCAGCCACUCAGCCAUGACCCUUGGGAACCUUAUAGAAACUGAAGCCAGAUCAGUUUUAGACGUACAAAAUGCCAGGUCUAGUGGUGCCAGGUAUAAGUUACGCUAAACGUGCAACACUAGUCUCGCUUCAUAACAUAGCCUGCAUGUCAUUGCUAAAUUAACCCUUUCAUUCUGCAGUGGAGAGCAGUGAAAUGAAAUGUUCUCUUUUGUGGUGCUGAAAGAGAAAUAAAAUAGUAAAAUUACAAAAUAAUACAUCUAGGAUCUGUGAAAGCUCAGUAUGUAUAAAAAAAAAAUCCUUCUUGACUCCAGAAUUCUAGUCAGUUUUUCCUUGAAUCAAAAGGGGGAAAAAAUACAGAAUAUGUACAGACUCAGAUAAAACAACCUAGGCUGAUAAUUUCAUACCUUUAUUAUAACUUUAACACGCCAAGCACCAUAACUACUACUGCACACUGUAGUGCACUUAAUGCCCUUAGCAACAUCUGACUGAUGUAGCAUAUUGUUGCCUAGUCUGUUGUCUUUUUUUUUUUUUUUACUUUUUCUUAUAUUUCAGAAGUGUAUUUUUUUUUCCUGGUGCAUCUGUGAUUUAGGCCUUGGUACUCUUGUCAUCAUGAACAUAUCCUGAAAUUUAUUAAGUGUUUCUAUGUCUCAUAUUAACUCCCCGUGUCCCACACCGAUCCCCUGCCCCCACCUUAUAAAUUAAAGGUCUUGAGAGGUAAAUUCAGCAUUAUAGUGAUGUAUAUUAGGUAAACAAUUCCAUUUUGUUUAUCCAUGUAUCCCAGUCUUCUAUUUGAGUAUAUCUAUUUCCUAAGUUCACCAAGAUACCCCUUUCCAUUUUUGCCUGUCAUAUGACUUGUAUAAUUAGUUCUUGAGUGCCUGGGAUUGUCCCUAAUUUUCCAAUUUUGCGCUAAUUUAAUUUAGCUGCCGUGAUGAUAUGCAGCGUUAACAUUCGUGUAUUAUUUGUCAUUUUUGGCCAGUUCAAGUUUAACAAGACCACUUCAGGCUUUAAGACUAAAUUAAUUUCUGUUAUUUGAUAUAUUGCUUUGAUUACCUCUUCCCAAGAUUUGUUUAUGGGUGCGCAUUGCCACCAUAAAUGGAUCAAAUUGCCUUCAUUAACGAUGCAUUUCCAGCAUCUCUCUGAUGAUUCAGGGAAAAUUUUCUUUAGACGUUUUGGUGUAAGGUACCAUCUAUUAGAGAGUUUGAAUUGCGUUUCCUAUCCACUUUUUCCCAUUUAUUAAUCAAUUCUAUUGGUUUAUCAUGUCUCCAUCUAUACAUAACUUUGGUGCAUUUUGCCAACAGGUUUUUAUAAUUCUUUAGUUCAAGUAACUGUUUAAGAUUUAUAUUUUUCUCCCCCUUGUUUUUCAAGAGGAAUUCUGUUAUGAAGCCCUUAAUUCGCAAAUAAUUAAAGGUUUCUUUGGAGGGGAAUAUUAAAUUCCUCCAUAAUUUGAUUGAAGGACUUGAUUUUAUGUUCCACUAAUAUGUUUUUAAAGUACCGUAUAUACUCGUGUAUAAGUCGAUCUCAUGUAUAAGUCGAGAGCAGUUUUGUGACCAACAAUUGUGAAAUAUGCUAUGCCUCGUGGAUAAGUCGAGGGUAAAACUUGGGGCUAUGAAAUUCAGUGAUUUUUAUAAUUAUAUACACACACUCAUACAAACACACACUCUGCAUUAUAUAUACACACUCAUACAAACACACACUCUGCAUUAUAUAUACACACACACACUCAUACAAACACACACUCUGCAUUAUAUAUACACACACACACUCAUACAAACACACACUCUGCAUUAUAUAUACACACACACACUCAUAUAAACACACACUCUGCAUUAUAUACACACACUCGCUCAUACAAACACACACUCUAUAUUAUAUACACAUACUCACUCAUACAAACACACACUCUGCAUUAUAUACACACUCAAUAUAAUCUGCAUAUAAUCCACAACAAUAUAAAAUCUGAAUGAUUAAAAUAUUUAAAUAAAUUAAAACAAACAGCAGCACUCAAUUUAGCAUCACUACAGAAGUAGCACCACAAAUUUACCUUUAUAACUCUGUGUGUAUAUAAUGCAGAGUGUGUGUUUGUGUAGUGUGUGUGAACUGGGUGGGGUGAGGGCAUUUUUAUUAUUGUAAUUUUUUUUAUUUUAAUAUUAUUAUUUUAUUAUUUUAAAAAAAAAUUUGUCCCCCCCCCUCCCUGCUUGUUAACUGGUCAGGGAGGGGGGCUAUCUUAAUCCCUGGUGGUCCAGUGGCAUGGGCUGUGCAUUGGGGGGGCCGGCAGGAAGCAUUUACUAACCUUUCCUGCAGCUCCUGUCAGCUCCCUUCUCCUCCGUUCCGGUCAGCUCCACUGUAAGUCUCGCGGUCUGGUUGCCGUGCGGAUCAUUGCCACAGCUCUGACUGCCGCGGCUCUCUAAGUUGCCAUAAUACAUAAUACAGACAGUGACUCGAGUAUAAGUCGAGUGGUGGUUUUUAAGCACAAAAAAUGUGUUGAAAAACUAGACUUAUACUUGAGUAUAUACUGUAUGUAUUUUAAUAUUGUCUAACAUAUCUAGAAUCUGUCUAACAUAUCUAGAAUCUAUUAUUUUGUUUCUGAAUCCUAUGUUAAUUUGUCCUACCAACUUGUUAAUUCUUUGAGUAUCUGUGAUUUAGUUCGUGCCUCUAUAAUUAAUUUUCUAUUCGUAUCUUAGACCCAAAAUAGCGAGGAUAGGUUUCUUACCCCUGUUUUAUGUUUUUCCAUUUCAUACCAUGUUUCUUGAAUUGCUGCAUUAUUUUGUGAAAGCAGUAUAUGAAAUAGCCUACUGGCCUGGUAACAUUUUGAAAUUUCUGGGCACCCCAAUCCUCCAUCUUGCCUAGCCCUCGCCAAAACUUUCAUUUUAACCCUUGCUUUCUUACCUCCCCAUACAAACUUAAAAAAAGAUGAAUGUAGUAACGAUAGCCAAUUUUCUGGGAAAUUUAGAGGGAUCAUUCUCCAUAAGUACAUUUUGGUAAAAUGGAUGCUUUUAAGAUGUUGAUCCUGCCCGACCAGGAAAAGCCCAAGCCUUUCCAAUCCCUUAAAUUUUUAUUUGUUUGUUUUAAUAUAGUUAAAAAGUUGGCUUCUAUUAGAUCUUUCAGAUCUGAAGUUAAAGUUAUGCCUAAAUACUUUAGCCUAUCUUUAUUUUUGGGGAGCCCGAUGUUUUGUACGAGAAAGUCAGUUAACCUUUUAUUCAUAUUUUUAGCUAUAAAUUCUCCAGAUUCAUUUUGUAACCUGAGACUUUAGAGUAUUUACUUAUCUCCUUUAGAAGCUCUAGAACCAAAAUUUUAGGUUCUUCUAAUGAUAGUAGGAUCUCAUCUGCAUAGAUAUUUAAUUUUAUUUGUCCUACUGCAUUCGUAAAACCUUUAAUUUUGUUAUUUUGUCUUAUUGAAAUUGCAAGGGGUUCUAUCACCAUUAUAUACAAUAAGGAAGAAAGAGGGCACCCUUGACUGGUCCCGUUUUUAAUAUUGAAGUUUUGUGAUGUAAAACCUGACCCUGUUACCAUUGCCGAUGGAGAGAUGUAGAGAGCGGAUAUGGCUUGUAAUAUUGAUCCAGUGAUUCCAAAUAGUUUUAAGGUGGCGAACAUGAAGCCCCAUCCAACCCUGUCAAACACUUUCUCUGCGUCUACUGACCGUAACAUUAGAGGGGUUUCAUUGUUCUCUGUUUCUUCUAGAAUGUUUAUUAUUUUUCUAAAAUUGUUGAUUGAGGACCUCCCUGGUAUAAAACCUACUUGAUCAUUAUUGAUUAACUGUGGUAUAACUAUUUUUAAUCUGUCAGCAAGGAUAGAGGAUAGUAUUUUAAUAUCGGUAUUAAUUAAUGAAAUGGGUCUGUACUUAGUAAUCAGUUCUGGUUCUUUGUCUGCUUUUGGGAUGGGGACAAUAUUCACUCUCAACAGCUCUCCAGGGCAACAUCCUGUUUUCAUUAUGCAGUUAAAAAUGGUAGUGAGUUCCUUUUUUAGUUGAUCUUUCAUUAGUUUAUAGAAUUUGUUUGAAAAGCCAUCUGGGUCUGGUGCAGUAUUUAUUUUAAGUUUAUCUAUAGAUUUACUAACCACUUCUGCUGUUAUGGGCUGGUUUAUCAGCUUUAAUUGGUCUGACAGGAUUUUUGGCAUAAUUAUACUUUUGAAGAAUUUCUCUAUCUCUUUUUCCCUACCAAAUAGCUCUUCUGGUAAAUUAUAUAAGUCCCGAUAAAAUCCUUUGAAGGCACUUCCUAUUUUUCCUGGGGCCAUUAGGUAAGUAUCUUUAUCUUUUAUUUUAUGUAUUACUUUUUAUGUUUCUCUUUUUUAAGUGUAUUGGUCAUUAGUGCUUCUGGCUUAUUUCCCUUUAAAUACCACUUAGAUUUUAGUGCUUCUAGCUGUUUGGUUGCUUUGUUCAUUUACUGGUUAUUUAUCUGUUUUUCUGUUUCUGCAAUCUUACUUGAUAUUUGUGUGGAAAGUGUUAUUUUAUUCUGCCUUUUGUAUUCACUUAGCAUUAUAUAUAAUUUGAAGAGAGGCGGUGUUCCUUCUUUGUUUGUGGUGGCUGCCAUUUUUAUCAUGUGGCCUCUAGCUACACUUUUGUAGGCGCACCAGACCAGCCUAGUCUGUUGUCUUUAGCUAUUUAUAAGUCAUUUAUUGUCUUACUUUACUGUACUUGGUAUUAUUUAUGAUACAAGUUGCUGGAGCAUUCCUCAUCCCAAAAUGUGUAACUUUGCAUGUAUAUACAUUAAAUAUUAUCUAUCUCAUGAUUGCCUAGUCCCUAAUUUAUUCAAAAAAACAUACAGUGAAGUAACAUCCUGCUUAGACUGUUUUGUGUCAUCUGUAAAAACCAACACAUGCAGGGCUGGUGCAAGGAUUUUUGCCGCCCUAGGCAAAAGAAAAAUUUGCCGCCCCCCAUAUGCGCUGCCCACCAUGUGAAAUCACAAUGCCCCACCCAUAUGAUCUGUCAUAUGAACCAACACCAGUGCUGCACACAGUGUGUGUUUACAUUAAAAAGCCUACAGGGACAGGCUAUAGACACCAAAACCACUACAUUAAGCUGCAGUGGUUCUGGGGACAAUAGUGCCCCGUUAAUUUGAGUUAAAUUUGAAAUUAGUGUCACUAGUAAUAUACUAGAUUGCCUACUUACAACCAGAUGAGGAUGAUGAUAGGCUCUGGCUGCAGUCUGGCUCCACUGGUUUGGUGUAUUACAGGCUCUCUGGAGGCUGUUUGUAACUGUUGUCACAAAAAUCAAUGUUCUGGGGGAACGGGAAGUGUACAACGGAUUCAAGGUGUGUUUAUGUGUAUUUAAGGGAUGCAUUGUGUGUGUCUGUAAGGGGUGCAAGAGAAGCAGUGUGUUUCUGUGUGUGUGUGUGUGUGUGUGCAAGGGAUGAAUUGUGUGUUUCUGUGUGUAAGGGAUGCAGUGUGUGUGUGUAAGGGAUGCAUUGUGUGUUUCUGUGUAUGUGUGCAAGGGAUGCAUUCAGUGUUUCUCUGUGUGUAAGGGAAGCAUGGUGUGUGUGUGUGUGUGUGUGUGUGUGCAUGUGCAUGUGUGUGUAUGUGUGUAUUGUGAAAGAGAGUUUGUGGGGUAGGAUAGGGGCUGAGAGGGGAGCAGAAAAAAAAUAUAGAUAUAUAAAAAAAUAUUUUUGUUUAUGUUUUGCGUCUUACAUCCCCCUUUAGUGUAUCUCUUGCAAGCCCCUUAUUUGUAUCUUAUCCCCCCUCUUUGUAUGUCUCCUAUAUCCUCCCAACAUUUUUAUGUGUUUUACUCCUCCCAGCCUCUUUCUGUGUCUCCCUCCCAAGCCCCUCUGUGUUUCUUUCUCCCCUACCAACACUUUUGUGCUUCUCUUUCCCCUCUUCCUUAGCCUCUCUGUGUGUCUUCCACUCCCCUGUUGCUAAAUAAUCUCUUUCACUCCCACCUAUCCAUUGGUGGUCUUCUCUCCUCCCCCUGUCCUUUAGAGAUCUCUCCUCUUGUCUCUUACUGCUCUCCCUUCCUGUCCAUUAGAGCUCACCCUCCUGUCCCUUAGUGCUCUCUCCUACCCCCCACCCCAUUAGUGGUCUUUCCUCCCCCUUGGUGGUCUCUCCUCUCCCCUCCCCUCCCCUUCCCUUAAUGGUCUCUCCUCUCCCCCUCCCCAUUAGUGGUCUCUCCUCUCCCCUCUCCCUCCUUGGUGAUCUCUCCUCUCUCCACCCCUCCCCUAGUGGUCUCAACUGUUCCCCCUCCCCUAGUGGACUCUCCUCCUCUAGUGGUCUCUCCUCUCACCCUGCCCUUAGUGGUCUCUCCUCCCUCCCCUCGUGGUCUCUCAUCUCCUGCAUGCACCCCAGAUGUUCUCUUCUCCCUCCCUCUCCUGGUGCUCUCUCCUCUCCCUCCUCUCCCCAGGUGGUCAAUCCUUCCCCCCUCCUCCCAUGGUGGUCUCUCCCCCCCUCCUCUCUCUCUCUCUCACCCCCUCCCCAGGUGGUCUCUCCUUCCUUCUCUCUCUCCCCACCUUCCCUCCCCAGGUGGUCUCUCCUUCUCUCUCUCCCCCCCCUACCUCCCCAGGUUGUCUCUCUCUUUGUUUUUACAGAUGUACCAUACAGAUGUCACUUUGUGUGUGUGUUCCAUUCUUUUAUUCAUAGGAAGUCUUUUAAACACUUUAGUGUAAUAUAUUCUCAAGUGCUGCUUGAAUUUGUUAUAAGAACAAGUCACAGCAGAUGAUUUCACUAUUAUUAUUAUUAUUAUACAUUUAUUAAGUGGUAACUAUCACGGCAAGGGUGCAUAACUCAUUAUUGCACUAUGGAAUAUUGUCUUUGAAGCUGGGACCUCCACAGAGGUCAGAUGACAGAAGGGGUAGUGUAAAUUGCAUAGGAAUGUGAAAAGGGAAAGAUGCGUCCUGUGAUUAAUCAAAGGCUCUGGAAGGUGUGAGAUUCUACACUUCUGGCUUCAGCCAUAUGGCCGGUACUUCUUAAUUGAUGAGUCAAUUCUCUAAUAUGUUAAUGGCCAUUAGCCUUGUUCCAGUAUCAUAUCCAAAAGAAAAAACAUUAAUAUUUACCCAGAGAAUAAUAAUUAAGCCGCCUUUUUGUUAUAUUGGGAAUGUGACAAGCGCCAUCUUCUAAACAAGCCCAAACAUGUUUAGCAUAACUUAACCAUAGGGGAAGGGAUUGUGAUGUCCGCUAUAUUGGGUCGCAAGGCGUGUGAAAUAUCUAUGAAAUGGAAAAAUAAUAACAAAUUCGUAGAUGCAAUUAUUAUUUCUGUGGCAUAUACAUAAGAGAAAAUAGAACAAAAUGUUUCCAUUUGGAUUGAUGUGGGUUUGGACACAAGGGGGUUGGUCACUUAGUGUCUCUUUAGAUAUGCCUUAACUCCACCUCUGGGUGAAUUGUGGUAAUCCACGGGGUAUAUCUCUAGUGAUACUGAAGUGUGCCUGGUACUUGCUUGAGGGGCAGAAUCUAAUUCUAAGUGAGUCACCAUCUUUCCUACCAGAGAUCCCCCUGGGGCAGAAGUAUUUACUUUGAAGAGCUGUGUAAGUGAUUAUGACUUUCUGUUAUUUUAUCCCUUUUGUUUUUAUCUGUCAUUGGUGUAAAUAAUUUUGAUUGUCAUCUAUAUUUCUGAAUACACUGUGACUAUUUUUUGCUCAUAAUAAAUAUUCCUUUAUUAAGUUCUGCCUUUUUCUGGGAAAGAAUCACGUUACCUGAAGAGACUAAUGAGUUUUGUUGCAAUUCAUUGAAUAUUGUGCUAAGUUGUAUUUGGUGAAUUUUUAUUAUUGAUUUACCUUGGGGACCAAGGCACCCCAUUUAUAAAUAGGCUUGGUGGUGGCAGCGUUAAAAUAGUAAUGGGUGGUGUUAAGAGGGAUUUUGUCAUUAUUUCCGGUCUAGGGCUGACAAAUAGUCACAUCCACAUAUUCAUCAAACGCACACUCUUGAAGUAGGGUGCGUUUGUGACAGUAACCUGUGUUCAAAGUGUUGUAUAAGGAAAGAAAGACAAUUAAAAAGUAGAAUGUAUAUAAUAUAUAUAACAGUAUAAUAUAACAAUGAACGACAGACAUACAGAAAGACAGACAAACAGAUAGAUAGAUAGAUAGAUUAGAAGAAUUGAGAACCCUACCCCUAAACUUAUAAUCUAGCAUUUACACUGAUCAGCCGCAACGCUAAAACCACUGACAGGUGAAAUGAAUAACGUUGAAUAGGCAGCAAUUAAAAAGUCAGUUCUUGAAUUUCAGGUUUUGGAAGCAGGAAAAAUGGGCAAGUAAAAAGAUCUGAGUUACUUUGACAAGGGCUAGAUGACAGAGCAUCUCCAAAAUGGCAAGUCUUGUAGGGUGUUCCUGGUACGCAGUGGUUAGUAUCUACCAAAUGUGGUGCAAGAAAGCACGACCAGUAAACUGGCAUUAGACUUAAGGACGCCCAAGGCUCAUUGAUGCAUAUGGGGUGUGAUAGCUAGCUUGCCUUUUCCUAUCACACAGAACAACUACUGUUGCUCAAAUUCCAGAAAAUAUUAAUGCUGGCCAUGAUAGAAAGGUGUCAGAACACACAGUACAUUUCAGUUUGCUGCAUAUGGGGCUGCGUAGCCGCACACCAUUCAGAGUGCUCAUGGUGACCCUAGUCCACAGCUGAAAAGCGCCUUCAGUGGAGACGUGAGUGGCAGGACUGGACCAUGGAGCAAUGGAAAAAAGUUGCCUGAUCCGAUGAAUUAUGUUUUCUUUCAGAUCAGUUGGAUGGCCGGUUGCAUGUACUUCAUUUACCAGUAGAAAAGAUGGCAGCAGGAAGCACUGUUGGGAGAAGACAUGCCAGCAAUGUUCUGCUGGCAUACUCUGCGCUUCGCAUUCAUGUGGAUGUUACUUUGACAUGCCCCCCUAUCUAGAG